RNAcentral lists this ribosomal RNA (842 nucleotides) under uncultured bacterium. Its description in RNAcentral is "bacterial SSU rRNA". It matches the Rfam family "Bacterial small subunit ribosomal RNA", at positions 8 to 850 of the family's 1533-position model. The record is from RNAcentral.
AGAGUUUGAUCAUGGCUCAGGAUGAACGCUAGCGGCAGGCCUAACACAUGCAAGUCGAGGGGCAGCAUAUAGCUUCGGUGAUGAUGGCGACCGGCGCACGGGUGAGUAUCGCGUUUGUAACCUACCCUUAACUGGGGGAUAGCCCGGAGAAAUCCGGAUUAAUACCCCAUAGUAUUUAAGCACGGCAUCGUGCUUUCAUUAAAGCUCCGGCGGUUAAGGAUGGGCAUGCGUGACAUUAGUUUGUUGGUGAGGUAACAGCUCACCAAGACUACGAUGUCUAUGGGGUCUGAGAGGAUGAUCCCACACACUGGUACUGAGACACGGACCAGACUCCUACGGGAGGCAGCAGUGAGGAAUAUUGGUCAAUGGACGAAAGUCUGAACCAGCCAUGCCGCGUGCAGGAUGACGGCCCUAUGGGUUGUAAACUUCUUUUAUACAGGAAGAAAAAGGUCAUGCGUGACCAAUUGACGGUACUGUAUGAAUAAGCACCGGCUAACUCCGUGCCAGCAGCCGCGGUAAUACGGAGGGUGCAAGCGUUGUCCGGAUUUAUUGGGUUUAAAGGGUGCGUAGGCGGUACGCUAAGUCAGUGGUGAAAUCCCGCAGCUCAACUGUGGAACUGCCAUUGAUACUGGCGUACUUGAGUACGGACGAGGUAGGCGGAAUUUAUGGUGUAGCGGUGAAAUGCAUAGAUACCAUAAAGAACACCGAUAGCGAAGGNAGCUUACUAGACCGUAACUGACGCUCNNCACGAAAGCGUGGGGAGCGAACAGGANUANAUACCCUGGUAGUCCACGCCGUAAACGAUGAUCACUCGAUGUGUNNAAUACNCCNUACNCNUCCAA